AGAUUGAACGCUGGCGGCAUGCCUAACACAUGCAAGUCGAACGGGAGUAGCAAUACUCUAGUGGCGGACGGGUGAGGAAUACGUAGGAAUUUGCCCUUAAGUGGGGGAUAACCCGGGGAAACCCGGAUUAAUACCGCAUGACCUCGAAAGAGCAAAGUGGGGGAUCGCAAGACCUCACGCCUUUUGGAGAAGCCUACGUCGGAUUAGCUAGUUGGUGAGGUAAUGGCUCACCAAGGCGACGAUCCGUAACUGGUCUGAGAGGAUGAUCAGUCACACCGGAACUGAGACACGGUCCGGACUCCUACGGGAGGCAGCAGUGGGGAAUAUUGGACAAUGGGCGCAAGCCUGAUCCAGCAAUGCCGCGUGUGUGAAG
This 373-nucleotide ribosomal RNA is filed under the name uncultured soil bacterium. RNAcentral describes it as "bacterial SSU rRNA". It matches the Rfam family "Bacterial small subunit ribosomal RNA", at positions 26 to 410 of the family's 1533-position model. The record is from RNAcentral.